ACCAAGUGCAAGCUAUGGGGUGAAGGUGUGCUCUGUAGCGCAACUCUAACUGUGCGCUCUGUUGCUGCUCGUCACUGUGCACGUAUCUGUGAUGUUGUUUGCGAUUCGCCUGGCUUUCCUGGUCAAAUUUUGGAGAACUGUGAGGCUAGGUGUGUGUGUUUAUCGUGUGUGUGUUUGUGGGGUCCAAAUGAGACCGCUUGGAAGGAGGUUUUGAGGAGCGGGACCUGGAGCAGAGCAAGUUCCACACAUGACUUUCAUGGCUCUGAGGGUUUGUGUGCGCCUUGUUUAUCGUUUCUUAAUCAGAGGUAGAGUUCCUUUUCCCAGUCAGCUCAUUCUUCUGAUGCAUCUUGCCAUUUUUUCGUUUUGCCUUCGACGCACAGGUCUGAGCCCUCUGCCAAAAAGACUCACAGCUUUUAUUGCUUCAUGUUCUGUGCUUGGACUAUGGAGACGAAGUAAAAGUCUUUUUGCACGUUCUAGUCCACGAAGUUUUGGUUUGUGCAUUGGAGUCCCAGUUCUCGUCCAGUUGGCUGGCAGUUUCUUUCGAUUUGACAGUUAACAGCUCUUUCAAAGAUUAGAUGGUGUGAUGCGCAUUGAGGUCAAUUAUGGGAACUCAGGAGCUGCACCAGAACUUGAUUCAGUGACCUGAACCAGAACUUGCUUCUCUCCACAGUGUCUGUGGUAGGCCUUUCCUGGUGAUCUUUGCGACCAGGCACGUUUUCACAAUUGAAGGAGCUUUUUAUUGUGUUCAUUCUAAUCAUUUGACAGAAUGAAAGUUUCUACUAAUGCGCGUUUCUGUGUGCAUGUGAUGCUGCCUCUAUUGAGCGAGGUUGGAUCGACAAAUGCCGAUUCUCUCUUGGUAGGGCGCAGCUUCAAGUCCUCAUCUCCUAUGAUAUUUGGAGUCAAAAAGUCAGUUCUUGAAUGAUUUCCUUCUUCCUUGCCUGUGGUGUCUUGUAUUUCCUUACUUGUAACUUGACAUGGCAUUUUAAAAUACCAAGAAACAGUGAACUGGGGAUGUUGUCUUCUAUGCCUACAAAGUAUUGGAAUAUGUGCAAGUUUAUGCAUAGGUUCCAAAUCCCUACAUUCUCAGCAUGCAGGAGAUGGACUAACUAUCCAGUCAAGGUAUACAAAAACCUGUAAUUGGAAUGGCGCUGAUGUUUGCAACAGCAGAAUUAUUCACGGAAGAUAUGUGAAUAUACUUGCGUCUGUUUGAAUUCGUAAAUCGUGUCCUUUCCGUACGAUGUUGCAAAAUUCGAUGUAAUUUGAGAGGAGAAGAUUUCUGCAAUCCUAAGCCAAGGCUUUCAACGAAGUUAAUUAAAAAUUUUAGGCUGUUUAUGAUCUUGCAAUCCAUGAUGUUUUCUUUGAAAAGAAUCUCAUUGCUUGACGAUACAAGCUCCGUUUCGCUUGGAUAAAAACCGGUCUCAACUUUCGGCUGUCGUAGUGAAAGAGCGUUAAUGGGCAAAAGAUAAGUGGAGUUUGUUUUGCAUAAAAUUUAAUGCAGACCAGACUCUUUUGAGAAAUUGGAACCUCCACAUAAAAUUCUGGUAGGCACUGGUAGUACCUAUCUGUUGAGUGAUUGCAGUGCCCUGACGACCUUCAAUUUUUUAUUCGUUCCUUUGCUAUGUUCAAUUUUAGUAAUCUUUAGCUGCAGAAUAGAUCUCACAUAGUGAAGAUAUUUCUGAACCACUUUGUAUUAUUAUGUCGUGCAUUGCUGAUAUAUCUUGUAACAACUAAGCAGUAAAUUAUUAAAUUAGCUAGGAGAAAAGAAUUGUUUGGUGGAUGGCUUUGUUCUUGUGUGAAGUACAAAGUUUCCAAGAACACAAAUUUAAUACAUUUCAAGUCUCUAAAAGUCUCCAAGAACACAAAUUUGGUUGGAGGAAAAGAAAUCAAGGCUUGACAACAAGUCCUAAGUUUUUAAAAACUAUUUCAUCAAAAUUGGAACAUAUGAGAAUUGAUGAGACAUAAUUUAAAUUCUUUAUAUGCAAAAAAAAGAAAAAGAAAAAGAAAAAGAUUUGACAUUGUCAAGAAAGAUUAUGCUAAUAUUGUAGAAAAUUUAG
Non-coding RNA from Physcomitrium patens, 2054 nucleotides. The record is from RefSeq and is a predicted model, not a curated record. Lineage: Eukaryota; Viridiplantae; Streptophyta; Bryopsida; Funariales; Funariaceae.